GACGAACGCUGGCGGCGUGCUUAACACAUGCAAGUCGAACGGAAAGGCCUGCAGCUUGCUGCGGGUACUCGAGUGGCGAACGGGUGAGUAACACGUGGGUGAUCUGCCUUGCACUUCGGGAUAAGCUUGGGAAACUGGGUCUAAUACCGGAUAGGACAGCUGUUUAGUGUCAGUUGUGGAAAGUUUUUUCGGUGCAAGAUGAGCUCGCGGCCUAUCAGCUUGUUGGUGGGGUAAUGGCCUACCAAGGCGUCGACGGGUAGCCGGCCUGAGAGGGUGUACGGCCACAUUGGGACUGAGAUACGGCCCAGACUCCUACGGGAGGCAGCAGUGGGGAAUAUUGCACAAUGGGCGGAAGCCUGAUGCAGCGACGCCGCGUGGGGGAUGAAGGCCUUCGGGUUGUAAACUCCUUUCGACAGGGACGAAGCUUUUGUGACGGUACCCGUAUAAGAAGCACCGGCUAACUACGUGCCAGCAGCCGCGGUAAUACGUAGGGUGCGAGCGUUGUCCGGAAUUACUGGGCGUAAAGAGCUCGUAGGUGGUUUGUCGCGUCGUCUGUGAAAUUCCGGGGCUUAACUCCGGGCGUGCAGGCGAUACGGGCUGACUUGAGUGCUGUAGGGGAGACUGGAAUUCCUGGUGUAGCGGUGAAAUGCGCAGAUAUCAGGAGGAACACCGAUGGCGAAGGCAGGUCUCUGGGCAGUAACUGACGCUGAGGAGCGAAAGCAUGGGUAGCGAACAGGAUUAGAUACCCUGGUAGUCCACGCCGUAAACGAUGAGUGCUAAGUGUUAGGGGGUUUCCGCCCCUUAGUGCUGCAGCUAACGCAUUAAGCACUCCGCCUGGGGAGUACGACCGCAAGGUUGAAACUCAAAGGAAUUGACGGGGACCCGCACAAGCGGUGGAGCAUGUGGUUUAAUUCGAAGCAACGCGAAGAACCUUACCAAAUCUUGACAUCCUUUGACAACUCUAGAGAUAGAGCUUUCCCCUUCGGGGGACAAAGUGACAGGUGGUGCAUGGUUGUCGUCAGCUCGUGUCGUGAGAUGUUGGGUUAAGUCCCGCAACGAGCGCAACCCUUAAGCUUAGUUGCCAUCAUUAAGUUGGGCACUCUAAGUUGACUGCCGGUGACAAACCGGAGGAAGGUGGGGAUGACGUCAAAUCAUCAUGCCCCUUAUGAUUUGGGCUACACACGUGCUACAAUGGACAAUACAAAGGGCGGCGAAACCGCGAGGUCAAGCAAAUCCCAUAAAGUUGUUCUCAGUUCGGAUUGUAGUCUGCAACUCGACUACAUGAAGCUGGAAUCGCUAGUAAUCGUAGAUCAGCAUGCUACGGUGAAUACGUUCCCGGGUCU
This 1343-nucleotide ribosomal RNA is filed under the name uncultured bacterium. Its description in RNAcentral is "partial 16S ribosomal RNA". It matches the Rfam family "Bacterial small subunit ribosomal RNA", at positions 28 to 1381 of the family's 1533-position model. The record is from RNAcentral.